CAGUAGCCGCGGUAAUACGAAGUGGGGCUAGCGUUGCUCGGAGUGACUGGGCGUAAAGGGCGCGUAAGCGGCGGCCAAAGUCAGGCGUGAAAUUCCCGGGCUCAACCUGGGGGCUGCGUUUGAUACUUGGUUGCUUGAGUGGGGAAGAGGGUCGUGGAAUUCCCAGUGUAGAGGUGAAAUUCGUAGAUAUUGGGAAGAACACCGGUGGCGAAGGCGGCGACCUGGUCCUUUACUGACGCUGAGGCGCGAAAGCGUGGGGAGCAAACAGGAUUAGAUACCCCAGUAGUCCCUGUCUCUUAUA
Molecule: ribosomal RNA, 301 nt
Filed under: uncultured bacterium
Lineage: Bacteria
Description: partial 16S ribosomal RNA
Rfam family: Bacterial small subunit ribosomal RNA
Source: RNAcentral